Non-coding RNA from Aegilops tauschii subsp. strangulata, 3297 nucleotides. The record is from RefSeq and is a predicted model, not a curated record. Lineage: Eukaryota; Viridiplantae; Streptophyta; Magnoliopsida; Poales; Poaceae.
UAUCCACACACUCCCUCUUACUUUCCAGCCGCGGCGGAGCAGGAGAAGUUGGGGGCGGAGCAGGAGCGGGGAGGGCGAGAAGGAGAGUAGCAGCGAGUGCGGGAGCAGGCGCCCAGAGACGGAGAGCGAGGAGAGGAGCAGGUCGAGCGGGAAGCAGAGGCGGUGGCGCUGGAGGAAGGGGAGCAGUGCGAAGGCGAGCGGCAGGGACAUGUCGCUGGCGGCGAGGCCCCGGUGCAGAGCGUGCCACUCGUGCGAGGUGCGACGGCACGGCGGAGUAGGACGCGGCGAGGCGACGCUUGUGGGAGCUGGCAUGGAGGGUGGAGGAGACGGCGAGGUGAGAGAGGCGAUGGAGGAGGGGUCGGAGAGGUAGGCAAGCAGUGGCUCGAAGUCAUAGCGGCUGGCGGGGCCGGCGGCGGAGACGGAGACCGAGGAGGUGGUGCAGCUGGGUAUGGGGAGGCGGAGGCGCUGGCGCUGGUGGCUGUCUGCCGCUGCCAGUCCUCUCCGGGCUCCUCCGCCGUAUCCUUCUCAAUCUCCGAUGUUUUUCUCCCGUGUCGUGAUUUGGAUGGACAAUUGGAGGUCGUGUCCUUGUCCAACACCAAGCAAUGGAGUGCCCGACCCGGAUUUCAGUUGCCUGCUAUAAGAAUGAAGGGCCCUCGGCCAGAAUCUCCAUCAGGUUGCGUCCUUGUACCAUAAGCUCCAUCAAAGUCCGUUGCAAUUUUCGACGAAACGUCCAAUGUCGUCGCCGAGUUCACCGGAGGAAGAAGCGCCGAGUUCGCCGGAGGAACAAGAACAUCCGUCCAUCCGUCCAAUGUAGCCUGACUCGGCUACACCAGAGGUUUGUAUCCCCUUGAUAUUCACUGGAUGGAAUCCCAUGUUUUACAUAUAAUUCUAUCCCCUGGCUCUGUAUGCGAUUCUGUUCUUACUUCAGUUAUGAAAUAGCUUUGUAGUUUUAUGUGGUGAAAGUUUUAGAGGCUGUUGAUAGCUUUCGAAAGGUACUAAGUUUGUGCAAUUCAGCAUAAUGAUUAUGAAGACAUCGCCAAAUAACAGUUCCGUUGUUCUAGGAUUUUCAGUCCAAGCAGAUUUAUGUUUUGCAAGAAUUAAUGGCGACUUUAGUUUAGCCUGGCUGGAUUAAGGGACAAUACUUAAUUUUGUGUUGUAGUAUAUAUGUACUUUGUUGUUUGCUCAACGAAUUAUAUUAUAUCAAUAUCAAUAAGCCGACAUUGUUCAGGCCUUAUUUUUUAGCUAUCCCCUUGACCCCUGUUUCAGUUAUUUUUCUGUCCCCUGUCUUGCUGGCGAGCCCGUGCGUGGCUACUGUUGUUGCUCGCGCGCCCGUACGCGUCCCUGAUCCUACCUAAUUAUUCAUCGCCAAGGAUGAGACGAUUUUAGUUGCCAUGGAUCAUAUAGAUAGGCCCUGUCCAUCUUGAUCUCGAUUGAAUCUGAUUGGAUGAGCAUGAAUUAUUUGGUUCUGCAGUCCAGGUAAAAAUAUGCCACACAAGCUGGCUUUUGUCUGUAGAAUAAGCAUAAUUUUUAACUGCCAUGAGCGCGUCUACUAGAUCGAUUUGUGUUAAACAAACUUACUUGGUUAAGUGCAGGAAUGUCUAGCGAAUUAUAUUCAGGAACCUUUUGACUUUUCAAUCCUCGCAAAUAACCUUGCUAAGUUAAACUCAUAAUUACCUCGCUCUUGUACGAGAUAAUAGUAUGGAGUAGAACCAUAUGCAUCUUGAUCUGGAUUGAAUCUGAUUGGGUGAGCAUGAAUAUUCGGUUCUGGAGUGCAGGUCGAAAGACACAUGCUGGUUUUUGUCUGGCCAGUUAUAUUCAGCAACUUUUCUGACCUGUCAAUCCUCGCAAAAGAACCUUGCUAAACUUACAAUUACUUCUCUUGUGCCAGAUAACACUAUGAAGUAGAGCCAUAUGUUGCUGGUGACUGAAAUUGGUUCUGUCGUAAUUGGCUGAUUGCUUCAGUUUAUCAGUCUAGCUAAGAGUUUGUUUUCUGCGAAUGGUUUAGCAUGGCUGAGUAAUAUGUGUUUACUUCACUAAUUCAUAAGAAUUAUUUUCUCUUGCCAGCUUCAGCUGCAGCAGCAUCUUGCCUGCAUCAUAUAUUUUGUAUUAUGUUAUUGUGGUCAUGCUGAUUCUGAAUUUCUCCGUACUGCCGACUUUGCCGGAAUUACGUCCGCCUGUGUAGCCAAGGUUGAGAACUGAUGAUGGACGACGUAAAAACUGUUAAAGAGGAGAUUAAAGGAUGGAAGAUGGCAGCAGAGGAGGCUGAAGCUGGUAGAUCAAUUGAGCAAGAGUACCUCACUCAUGUGCAUUUAUAAUUAGCUUUUCCAAAUUAAUAGAUAGUUUCUGUCAAGAUUAAUACAUGUUGUUUGAUUCACUGUUUGAUUGAAGUCCAUAUUUGAUUACACGUUCACACAAUUUGCAAUGUUGUUUCAACAAACUAACAGUGUGAGGUUUAACUUCUUUUUAUUGCAGAAAAUGGAUGACAACACUUAAUCGAUCAUUGUUGAGGAUUUUGAAACCUGACCUUCAUAAAGAAAGCAAAAUGUUCUGAAUCGGGUGUUUUGAAAUGGAGGUUUAACUUUAUUUGUAAGGCCCGCUCGGUACAUCCACCCUGAGGCAUCACCAUCUACAUGGUGGAAGAGGUUCGACACUGUGGACAUCAGCGGCGAUGUUGUUUCCAAUACGCAGAAAGUGCACGACUUCGGUGAGGGUGCGCAAGGUUUCUGCAUGUCCCUCAAGUUCCUGCCCCCAUACCGUCGCUCUCGCCAACCACAGCCGGAAGCUUGGAACCACGGCCUGCUCUAAACGAGUCUCCAUCUGAUGUAUGGUACUUUGCCAAGGUCAAGGAGUAGCUUCCCGCAAAAAAAAGGGUUCAAGGAGUAGCACUAGCACCUCUGAAGCAGCAACAAAAGGAUCAAAACCACAUUCUUCAGCAUCCUACUCGGCAAAAAAAAAAAAAGGCGAAAAGACUGACUUCCAGAAAAAAACAUGAAGAAUUCUUCCAAGCACCAGACUGAGACAGAUUCCUUGAGACGUGCGCUUGAUAAUAUCAGGUGGUCAGGUUCUUUUCUAAGUUGAGGUAGGGUUGCCUCUUCAAUCUGUGAUAUUCAAAUGAGAGGGAAAAUGAAUAUAUAGAGGAAUAUAAUUAGAAUACAUUAUUAACAACCUCCAAAUUUUUAUCAUGUCUCAUGGCCAGUUCAAUACUUCUUUCUUAAUGCAACGACUGAUAUAUGGUUGUUUUCCAUGGCUAUGUUAGUAAACUUUUAUGCAAAUUUAUAUUACUCUCUUAUUCUCUAA